UGCCAGCAGCCGCGGUAAUACAUAGGGGUCAAGCGUUGUCCGGAUUUAUUGGGCGUAAAGCGUACGCAGGCGGUUUGUUAAGCAAGAUGUGAAAGCCCUGGGCUCAACCUAGGAACCGCAUUUUGAACUGGCAAACUAGAGUCUUGUAGAGGGGGGUAGAAUUUCAGGUGUAGCGGUGAAAUGCGUAGAGAUCUGAAGGAAUACCGGUGGCGAAGGCGGCCCCCUGGACAAAGACUGACGCUGAGGUACGAAAGCGUGGGGAGCAAACAGGAUUAGAUA
Molecule: ribosomal RNA, 279 nt
Filed under: uncultured bacterium
Lineage: Bacteria
Description: partial 16S ribosomal RNA
Rfam family: Bacterial small subunit ribosomal RNA
Source: RNAcentral